UACGUAGGUGGCAAGCGUUAUCCGGAUUUACUGGGUGUAAAGGGCGUGUAGGCGGGGAAGCAAGUCAGAUGUGAAAACCACGGGCUCAACCCGUGGCCUGCAUUUGAAACUGUUUUUCUUGAGUACUGGAGAGGCAGACGGAAUUCCUAGUGUAGCGGUGAAAUGCGUAGAUAUUAGGAGGAACACCAGUGGCGAAGGCGGUCUGCUGGACAGCAACUGACGCUGAGGCGCGAAAGCGUGGGAAGCAAACAGG
Molecule: ribosomal RNA, 253 nt
Filed under: uncultured bacterium
Lineage: Bacteria
Description: partial 16S ribosomal RNA
Rfam family: Bacterial small subunit ribosomal RNA
Source: RNAcentral